Long non-coding RNA from Sander lucioperca (pikeperch), 929 nucleotides. RefSeq lists it as uncharacterized. The transcript has 5 exons. The record is from RefSeq and is a predicted model, not a curated record. NCBI's taxonomy places the organism in Eukaryota, Metazoa, Chordata, Actinopteri, Perciformes, Percidae.
CCUUACAUUAUGAUGGAAAUCUAUACAUCGCAGCAACGUAUUAACUAUGUAUGUUAGAUGUAUUACAAGUUCCUCAGUUGUUCGCAGGUUAUUUGGAAGCAUCGUUUAUUGAGCGUCUGGGCGUCUUUACUGUACACUCACUGUUGAUGUGAUGGACAGUGGAUCUGAAUUCUGCCCAGCAACAUAUUCGCGCCACAGUCGAUAAAGGAAGGAAAAAAAGUUGCCAGUCUAUAAGGGUUAGGAUGGAUACUGCUUCGUCGCUGCUGUCAAACCCCAUGUGGAAGAUCAGAAAACGUGGGCAGGAGUUGGGAGAAAAGGCAAUGCAAAGAUGAAGGACAUCAUACCACAAUAAUAGUUGUGUGUAUAAGCCUGAUCAACAAGUGAAAAGAGUCAGAUAAGAGGACAGAGUUUGAAAACUGAUUUGACGACCACUGCUGAAUUGGCCUGCUCAGAGAAAGAGGCACUAAUGUUCCCAGAAAACAGGAAGCCAAAGAAGAAGACCUACACAGACUUUGAAAUGGAUCUCUCAAUUGCCAUGAUGACCAAGAUAUUCAACGGGGAAAUGUGGAAAGCUGCCAUAUUCCCAGUCAUUACUUUGCCAAAUCAUCUGUGCAGCACCGAGGAAUCCUACUUUCCUGAGUACGAAGCCGGCCAUCAAGGACUUCCCAGAGUGGCAACAGACUGGAGCAGAGGCUGUAGCAGGGACAGCCUUUUUUUUUUGCUACUGAAAUAAUUGACAUUAUGAUAGACAGUGGACAAUAUGGUGUGACAAUUAGUUUUUGUUCUCCAACAUGUACACACUGCUGUUGUGAAGCAAGGAUAUACAGCUCACGAGUGUGUAGUCAAAAGAGAGAAAUACUGUAUAUUUCAGCGACUCCUACAGAUUAAGAAAAUAAUGAAUUUUCUUAAUAAAUAAAUGUUAUUCUUGG